GAAAUUUUACUGGGUCCUAGCAGUAUUACAAGAUAUUCUUCUUACUGUGACAAAGAGCAGGAACAUCAUCAUGAAUGACUCUGCAUGACAAGAAAUCAAUAGAAGAAACCAAAGAAAGGAUAUAGAGGACCUGAAAUUAAUACUUCCUGUGAAAUCAGACUUACUUAAAGUAUAUCCAUUUAUACACAGGCUAAACCUUCUCCACUCUGAGGACAUGAUCUCAAAGAAACCACUUAUGUGAGAUCCCACUGAGGGAAGCAAGGACAUGCACAACCUUGAAAGAUGUGUAAACCACAAAGAAGGUGGAAGGAACCUCAAGAAAAAGAGAAACGUGUCACCUUCUAAGGAACAAGCUGGGAAUAUUUCAAAAAAACCUUGAACAUUAUACAAAAAG
RNAcentral lists this long non-coding RNA (394 nucleotides) under Struthio camelus australis. RNAcentral's name for it is "lncRNA (ENSSCUG00000004052.1)". Lineage: Eukaryota; Metazoa; Chordata; Aves; Struthioniformes; Struthionidae. The record is from RNAcentral.